UACGAAGGGGGCUAGAGUUGCUCGGAAUUACUGGGCGUAAAGCGCACGUAGGCGGCUUUCUAAGUCGGGGGUGAAAUCCUGGAGCUCAACUCCAGAACUGCCUUCGAUACUGGAGAGCUUGAGUCCGGGAGAGGUGAGUGGAACUGCGAGUGUAGAGGUGAAAUUCGUAGAUAUUCGCAAGAACACCAGUGGCGAAGGCGGCUCACUGGCCCGGUACUGACGCUGAGGUGCGAAAGCGUGGGGAGCAAACAGG
RNAcentral lists this ribosomal RNA (253 nucleotides) under uncultured bacterium. RNAcentral's name for it is "partial 16S ribosomal RNA". It matches the Rfam family "Bacterial small subunit ribosomal RNA", at positions 524 to 776 of the family's 1533-position model. The record is from RNAcentral.